AUGAACGCUGGCGGCGUGCCUAAUACAUGCAAGUCGAGCGAACAGACGAGGAGCUUGCUCCUCUGACGUUAGCGGCGGACGGGUGAGUAACACGUGGAUAACCUACCUAUAAGACUGGGAUAACUUCGGGAAACCGGAGCUAAUACCGGAUAAUAUAUUGAACCGCAUGGUUCAAUAGUGAAAGACGGUUUUGCUGUCACUUAUAGAUGGAUCCGCGCCGCAUUAGCUAGUUGGUAAGGUAACGGCUUACCAAGGCGUCGAUGCGUAGCCGACCUGAGAGGGUGAUCGGCCACACUGGAACUGAGACACGGUCCAGACUCCUACGGGAGGCAGCAGUAGGGAAUCUUCGGCAAUGGGCGAAAGCCUGACGGAGCAACGCCGCGUGAGUGAUGAAGGUCUUCGGAUCGUAAAACUCUGUUAUUAGGGAAGAACAAAUGUGUAAGUAACUAUGCACGUCUUGACGGUACCUAAUCAGAAAGCCACGGCUAACUACGUG
This 496-nucleotide ribosomal RNA is filed under the name uncultured bacterium. RNAcentral describes it as "partial 16S ribosomal RNA". It matches the Rfam family "Bacterial small subunit ribosomal RNA", at positions 29 to 507 of the family's 1533-position model. The record is from RNAcentral.